This 235-nucleotide ribosomal RNA is filed under the name uncultured bacterium. Its description in RNAcentral is "partial 16S ribosomal RNA". It matches the Rfam family "Bacterial small subunit ribosomal RNA", at positions 97 to 334 of the family's 1533-position model. The record is from RNAcentral.
GGCGGACGGGUGAGUAACGCGUGGGAAUCUGCCUAUUAGUGGGGGGACAACCUGGUGAAAACCAGGCUAAUACCGCAUACGCCCUACGGGGGAAAGCAGGGGAUCUUCGGACCUUGCGCUAAUAGAUGAGCCCGCGUUAGAUUAGCUAGUUGGUAGGGUAAAGGCCUACCAAGGCGACGAUCUAUAGCUGGUCUGAGAGGACGAUCAGCCACACUGGGACUGAGACACGGCCCAG